CAGUAGCCGCGGUAAAACGUAGGUGACAAGCGUUGUCCGGAAUUAUUGGGCGUAAAGGGCUCGCAGGCGGUUUCUUAAGUCCGAUGUGAAAGCCCCCGGCUCAACCGGGGAGGGUCAUUGGAAACUGGGAAACUUGAGUGCAGAAGAGGAGAGUGGAAUUCCACGUGUAGCGGUGAAAUGCGUAGAGAUGUGGAGGAACACCAGUGGCGAAGGCGACUCUCUGGUCUGUAACUGACGCUGAGGAGCGAAAGCGUGGGGAGCGAACAGGAUUAGAUACCCCCGUAGUCCCUGUCUCUUAUAC
Molecule: ribosomal RNA, 301 nt
Filed under: uncultured bacterium
Lineage: Bacteria
Description: partial 16S ribosomal RNA
Rfam family: Bacterial small subunit ribosomal RNA
Source: RNAcentral